This 424-nucleotide ribosomal RNA is filed under the name uncultured bacterium. RNAcentral describes it as "partial 16S ribosomal RNA". It matches the Rfam family "Bacterial small subunit ribosomal RNA", at positions 360 to 776 of the family's 1533-position model. The record is from RNAcentral.
AAUUCUGGACAAUGGGCUCAAGCCUGAUCCAGCCAUGCCGCGUGCGUGAAGAAGGCCUUCGUCUUGUAAAGCUCUUUCGGACGGAAAGAAAUCGCGCAGGAUAAUACCCUGCGCGUAUUACGUUACCGUCUUAAGAAUCACCGGCUACAUACGUUCCAGCAGCCGCGGUAAGACGUAGGGUGCGAGCGUUAAUCGGAAUUAGUGGGCGUAAAGCGUACGCAGGCGGUUGAUUAAGACAGGCGUGAAAUCCCCGGGCUUAACCUGGGAACUGCGCUUGUGACUGGUCAGCUAGAGUACGGCAGAGGGGGGUGGAAUUCCACGUGUAGCAGUGAAAUGCGUAGAGAUGUGGAGGAACACCGAUGGCGAAGGCAGCCCCCUGGGCCGAUACUGACGCUCAUGCACGAAAGCGUGGGUAGCAAACAGG